This 1156-nucleotide long non-coding RNA is filed under the name Amborella trichopoda. RNAcentral describes it as "long non-coding RNA (ATRI_LNC002601)". Lineage: Eukaryota; Viridiplantae; Streptophyta; Magnoliopsida; Amborellales; Amborellaceae. The record is from RNAcentral.
GAUGUUCCAUGCUCGAUAAAAAUAUGGAGGUUAAAAUGGUAACUUACCCACAGAUCCUCCCCUAUUUGAGCUUAAAAAAAGUUUCGUCUAUUUAGAUGGAAGUUACAUCAGGAACCUCAGGGGAAGCACAUCCAUAGACAAAACCUGCUCGUUUGAAGCCUGAUCGUCUGAACUUGCUCGCGUGAACAAAAGCCUGAUCGUCUGAUAAAGCUUACUCGUGUGAAGACCGCUGACAAAAAGCCCUUUUCUCUAUCUUUCUCUUUGCUCUCUUCUCAGUAACACAAACAAAGAAAAGCUCUCUUCUCUGUCUAUCUUUUCUGCUAUCUUCUUUGUCUCUCUAUCUGCUCUCUUCUCUGUCUCUCUCUCUGCUCUCUUCUCGCGUGAAGACCGCUGAAAAAAGCUCUCUUCUCUGUCUCUCUCUCUGAUAUAAAGCAAACUCUGUAGUCAUUUGGAGGUGCACCUUUGUUCAAGAAAGCAACUAUUGCCCUUUGUUCUCUGUUAAUAUAAAGCAAAGCUCUCACAGCUACUACCCUUUGCUCUCUGUUAAACUCAUGCUCACUCUGCAAACCCUAGAUUGAGGAAGAGAAAGGGACUCACUCGCAGCAACCGCUUGCCCCAUCGCCAUCAUCAUAGAGAAGGAACCCCAAAUUAGUCAGUAUUUUUUUUCUUCCUUCUUCUGUUUAUUAUGAUGAUAAACCCCAAAUGACCAUAGUAGUAUUUUUUUUUUGCUAUGAUUUUUGUUGAUAAACCUCAAAUCAGUGCGUUAAUUCACUAAUAAACCCAAAUCAGUGAGUUGAUAUAUUUUUUUUGCUGCUAUUUUGGCUCAUAAACCCCAAAUCAGCAAGUUUUUUAUUUUUUAUUUUUUAUUUUUCUGUUACUCUCGAAAUAGAGAAGUUAACUCACUGAUAAACCCCAAAUCAUUGAGUUCAAUUUUUUUUUCGCUACUAGUUAGGCUGAUAAACCCCAAAUCAGUGAGUUUACUCAUUGAUAAAUCCCAAAUAAGUGAGUUAUUUGUUUUUUUGCUACUAUUUUUGCUCAUAAACCCUAAAUCAGUGAGUUAAUUCACUGAUAAGCCCCAAAUCAGUGAGUUUUUUUCUUUUGUUCCUAUUUUUUCUGUUAAUCUCGAAAUAGAGAAGUUAACUCACUGACAAAANNN